AGGCCAUCCUACAGUGCCAUCAUAGAAGAAACAACAAAGAAAUAAUCUUUGGAGUCUGAAAUAAAGAUUUUACUGUCAAUGAGCUACUGUUUGGUUAUAUAAUCUGAACACAGGACUUUACUUCAUUGUCACGUUUUCAGCAUCCAGGUAACUACACACCUUCAGAUGUGAUUUAUUUAAUUACUCUCCAUGGGAGACUUAGUCCUAGGAAAAUUGUUUUGGAACUAUGCUGUAUGCUUGGUAAACUAAAGAUUUUCUAAAUUCAACACACACUUUUGUUUCUAGAAUGGGUCUAGAUAUAAACAGAUACUUAGCUCCUUUGUCCUCCAAAAAAUAAAGUCACCA
Molecule: long non-coding RNA, 345 nt
Filed under: Fukomys damarensis (Damara mole-rat)
Lineage: Eukaryota; Metazoa; Chordata; Mammalia; Rodentia; Bathyergidae
Description: lncRNA (ENSFDAG00000030122.1)
Source: RNAcentral